This 531-nucleotide ribosomal RNA is filed under the name uncultured bacterium. RNAcentral's name for it is "partial 16S ribosomal RNA". It matches the Rfam family "Bacterial small subunit ribosomal RNA", at positions 355 to 871 of the family's 1533-position model. The record is from RNAcentral.
UGGGGAAUAUUGCACAAUGGGCGCAAGCCUGAUGCAGCCAUGCCGCGUGUGUGAAGAAGGCCUUCGGGUUGUAAAGCACUUUCAGCGAGGAGGAAGGUGGUGGACUUAAUACGUUCAUCAAUUGACGUUACUCGCAGAAGAAGCACCGGCUAACUCCGUGCCAGCAGCCGCGGUAAUACGGAGGGUGCAAGCGUUAAUCGGAAUUACUGGGCGUAAAAGCGCACGCAGGCGGUUUGUUAAGUCAGAUGUGAAAUCCCCGGGCUCAACCUGGGAACUGCAUUUGAAAACCGGCAAGCUAGAGUCUCGUAGAGGGGGGUAGAAUUCCAGGUGUAGCGGUGAAAUGCGUAGAGAUCUGGAGGAAUACCGGUGGCGAAGGCGGCCCCCUGGACGAAGACUGACGCUCAGGUGCGAAAAGCGUGGGGAGCAAAACAGGAUUAGAUACCCUGGUAGUCCACGCUGUAAAACGAUGUCGAUUUUGGAGGUUGUGCCCUUGAGGCGUGGCUUCCGGAGCUAACGCGUUAAAAUCGACCG